RNAcentral lists this transfer RNA (58 nucleotides) under Apaloderma vittatum (bar-tailed trogon). It matches the Rfam family "tRNA", at positions 8 to 63 of the family's 71-position model. From Rfam's summary of the family: Transfer RNA (tRNA) molecules are approximately 80 nucleotides in length. Their secondary structure includes four short double-helical elements and three loops (D, anti-codon, and T loops). Further hydrogen bonds mediate the characteristic L-shaped molecular structure. tRNAs have two regions of fundamental functional importance: the anti-codon, which is responsible for specific mRNA codon recognition, and the 3' end, to which the tRNAs corresponding amino acid is attached (by aminoacyl-tRNA synthetases). tRNAs cope with the degeneracy of the genetic code in two manners: having more than one tRNA (with a specific anti-codon) for a particular amino acid; and 'wobble' base-pairing, i.e. permitting non-standard base-pairing at the 3rd anti-codon position. The record is from Rfam by way of RNAcentral. Lineage: Eukaryota; Metazoa; Chordata; Aves; Trogoniformes; Trogonidae.
UAGCUCAGCCAGUUGAGUGUGGUGCUGAUAACACCAAGGUAAUGGGUUCGAUUCCCGU